Molecule: ribosomal RNA, 661 nt
Filed under: uncultured Actinomycetes bacterium
Lineage: Bacteria; Bacillati; Actinomycetota; Actinomycetes
Description: bacterial SSU rRNA
Rfam family: Bacterial small subunit ribosomal RNA
Source: RNAcentral
CGCGGCCUUCAGCUUGUUGGUGGGGUAACGGCCUACCAAGGCAACGAUGGGUAGCUGGUCUGAGAGGAUGAUCAGCCACACUGGCACUGGAACACGGGCCAGACUCCUACGGGAGGCAGCGGUGAGGAAUAUUGGGCAAUGGGCGAAAGCCUGACCCAGCCACGCCGCGUGUGUGAUGAAGGCCUUCGGGUCGUAAAGCACUGUGGGGAGAGACGAACAUGCGCAGGAGGAAAUGCCUGCGUACUGACGGUACCUCCUUAGCAAGCACCGGCUAACUCUGUGCCAGCAGCCGCGGUAAUACAGAGGGUGCAAACGUUGCUCGGAUUUACUGGGCGUAAAGCGCGUGUAGGCGGACUCGCAAGUCGGUUGUGAAAUCCCUGGGCUUAACCUAGGAACUGCAUCCGAAACUGCUUGUCUUGAGUAAUGGAGAGGGUGGCGGAAUUCCCGGUGUAGAGGUGAAAUUCGUAGAUAUCGGGAGGAACAUCAGUGGCGAAGGCGGCCACCUGGACAUUUACUGACGCUGAGACGCGAAAGCGUGGGGAGCAAACAGGAUUAGAUACCCUGGUAGUCCACGCCGUAAACGAUGAGAACUAGGUGCAGCGGAUAUUGACCUCUGCUGUGCCGUAGCUAACGCGUUAAGUUCCCCGCCUGGGGAGUACGG